This 1842-nucleotide ribosomal RNA is filed under the name Streptomyces cahuitamycinicus. RNAcentral describes it as "bacterial LSU rRNA". It matches the Rfam family "Bacterial large subunit ribosomal RNA", at positions 1209 to 2925 of the family's 2925-position model. The record is from RNAcentral. Lineage: Bacteria; Bacillati; Actinomycetota; Actinomycetes; Kitasatosporales; Streptomycetaceae.
CAACGCCUGUGUGGAUGGGUAGGGGAGCGUCGUGUGCCGGGUGAAGCAGCCGCGGAAGCGAGUUGUGGACGGUUCACGAGUGAGAAUGCAGGCAUGAGUAGCGAUACACACGUGAGAAACGUGUGCGCCGAUUGACUAAGGGUUCCUGGGUCAAGCUGAUCUGCCCAGGGUAAGUCGGGACCUAAGGCGAGGCCGACAGGCGUAGUCGAUGGAUAACCGGUUGAUAUUCCGGUACCCGCUGUGAAGCGUCAAACAUCGAGCAUCGUGAUGCUAAGGCCGUGAAGCCGUUCCGGACCCUUCGGGGAAAGGAAAGUGGUGGAGCCGCCGAACCAAGCGGUUAGUAGGUGAGUGAUGGGGUGACGCAGGAAGGUAGUCCAUCCCGGGCGGUGGUUGUCCCGGGGUAAGGGUGUAGGCCGUGGUCCAGGUAAAUCCGGAUCACUUGUGGCUGAGACCUGAUGCCGAGCCGAUUGUGGUGAAGUGGAUGAUCCUAUGCUGUCGAGAAAAGCCUCUAGCGAGUUUCAUGGCGGCCCGUACCCUAAACCGACUCAGGUGGUCAGGUAGAGAAUACCGAGGCGUUCGGGUGAACUAUGGUUAAGGAACUCGGCAAAAUGCCCCCGUAACUUCGGGAGAAGGGGGGCCACAUCCGGUGAUGGGCUUUACGCCUUGAGCUGGGGGUGGCCGCAGAGACCAGCGAGAAGCGACUGUUUACUAAAAACACAGGUCCGUGCGAAGCCGUAAGGCGAUGUAUACGGACUGACGCCUGCCCGGUGCUGGAACGUUAAGGGGACCGGUUAGCUCCAUUUCGGUGGGGCGAAGCUGAGAACUUAAGCGCCAGUAAACGGCGGUGGUAACUAUAACCAUCCUAAGGUAGCGAAAUUCCUUGUCGGGUAAGUUCCGACCUGCACGAAUGGCGUAACGACUUCUCGACUGUCUCAACCAUAGGCCCGGUGAAAUUGCACUACGAGUAAAGAUGCUCGUUUCGCGCAGCAGGACGGAAAGACCCCGGGACCUUUACUACAGUUUGAUAUUGGUGUUCGGUUCGGCUUGUGUAGGAUAGCUGGGAGACUGUGAACUCUGGACGCCAGUUCAGGGGGAGUCGUCGUUGAAAUACCAGUCUGGUCGUGCUGGAUGUCUAACCUGGGUCCGUGAUCCGGAUCAGGGACAGUGUCUGAUGGGUAGUUUAACUGGGGCGGUUGCCUCCUAAAGAGUAACGGAGGCGCCCAAAGGUUCCCUCAGCCUGGUUGGCAAUCAGGUGUUGAGUGUAAGUGCACAAGGGAGCUUGACUGUGAGACCGACGGGUCGAGCAGGGACGAAAGUCGGGACUAGUGAUCCGGCGGUGGCUUGUGGAAGCGCCGUCGCUCAACGGAUAAAAGGUACCCCGGGGAUAACAGGCUGAUCUUCCCCAAGAGUCCAUAUCGACGGGAUGGUUUGGCACCUCGAUGUCGGCUCGUCGCAUCCUGGGGCUGGAGUCGGUCCCAAGGGUUGGGCUGUUCGCCCAUUAAAGCGGUACGCGAGCUGGGUUUAGAACGUCGUGAGACAGUUCGGUCCCUAUCCGCUGUGCGCGUAGGAAUAUUGAGAAGGGCUGUCCCUAGUACGAGAGGACCGGGACGGACGAACCUCUGGUGUGCCAGUUGUCCUGCCAAGGGCAUGGCUGGUUGGCUACGUUCGGGAGGGAUAACCGCUGAAAGCAUCUAAGCGGGAAGCCUGCUUCGAGAUGAGUAUUCCCACCUCCUUGAGAGGGUAAGGCUCCCAGUAGACGACUGGGUUGAUAGGCCGGAUAUGGAAGCACGGUAACGUGUGGAGUUGACCGGUACUAAUAGGCCGAGGGCUUGUCCUCAGUUG